CGGGGCGUGGCUCAGUUUGGCUUAGAGCGCUUGCUUUGGGAGCAAGAGGUCGACAGUUCAAGUCUGUCCGCCCCGACCA
Molecule: transfer RNA, 79 nt
Filed under: Candidatus Omnitrophota bacterium
Lineage: Bacteria; Pseudomonadati; Candidatus Omnitrophota
Description: tRNA-Pro
Rfam family: tRNA
About the family: Transfer RNA (tRNA) molecules are approximately 80 nucleotides in length. Their secondary structure includes four short double-helical elements and three loops (D, anti-codon, and T loops). Further hydrogen bonds mediate the characteristic L-shaped molecular structure. tRNAs have two regions of fundamental functional importance: the anti-codon, which is responsible for specific mRNA codon recognition, and the 3' end, to which the tRNAs corresponding amino acid is attached (by aminoacyl-tRNA synthetases). tRNAs cope with the degeneracy of the genetic code in two manners: having more than one tRNA (with a specific anti-codon) for a particular amino acid; and 'wobble' base-pairing, i.e. permitting non-standard base-pairing at the 3rd anti-codon position.
Source: RNAcentral